This 505-nucleotide ribosomal RNA is filed under the name Paenibacillus xylanexedens. RNAcentral's name for it is "bacterial SSU rRNA". It matches the Rfam family "Bacterial small subunit ribosomal RNA", at positions 1029 to 1533 of the family's 1533-position model. The record is from RNAcentral. Lineage: Bacteria; Bacillati; Bacillota; Bacilli; Caryophanales; Paenibacillaceae.
AGGAGACAGGUGGUGCAUGGUUGUCGUCAGCUCGUGUCGUGAGAUGUUGGGUUAAGUCCCGCAACGAGCGCAACCCUUAUAUUUAGUUGCCAGCAUUUCGGAUGGGCACUCUAGAUAGACUGCCGGUGACAAACCGGAGGAAGGUGGGGAUGACGUCAAAUCAUCAUGCCCCUUAUGACCUGGGCUACACACGUACUACAAUGGCCGGUACAACGGGCUGCGAAAUCGCGAGAUGGAGCCAAUCCCAACAAAGCCGGUCUCAGUUCGGAUUGCAGGCUGCAACUCGCCUGCAUGAAGUCGGAAUUGCUAGUAAUCGCGGAUCAGCAUGCCGCGGUGAAUACGUUCCCGGGUCUUGUACACACCGCCCGUCACACCACGAGAGUUUAUAACACCCGAAGUCGGUGGGGUAACCGCAAGGAGCCAGCCGCCGAAGGUGGGAUAGAUGAUUGGGGUGAAGUCGUAACAAGGUAGCCGUAUCGGAAGGUGCGGCUGGAUCACCUCCUUU